UUUCUUUCUUAUUCUCAUUUUUUCUUUUUCCCCCCUCCCUUAUGAAAGUCAAUCUUGGUCCCUUUCAACUUUUUCCCCCUUAAUCUGCUGACAGAAUCCUUUAUUUGUUGCAGUGAUGAUAAUCUGGUGAAAGAUGACUUUUUGAGGUCCAAAAUGGAUGAAGAGGGAUGGGUUCCUAUUGAAUUGAUUGCUAACUUUCCUCGUGUAAGUGAUAUAACCUGGUUCUCGAUUUUAAUGGGAAGGUGUUUGAUCACUGCUUCAGAAGUCCUAAGAUUUAUACCUCCUAUAGCCUUCUAUUAGAUGUAAAUGGUUUUGAGAACUCAGAUACCUCCACGAAAAGUAGCUUCAUGUCCCCUCUUCUUUCGUCUUACGACUCUUGUCUUCCUGUUAUUAGUACGUAAAUUGUUUAGCAGUGAAUUCUGAUACUUAUUAGAUACAUAAAAUUAUCUUGAUUAACUUGGUUCUCGAUUUUAAUGGGAAGGUGUUUGAUCACUGCUUGAGAAGUCCCAAGAUUUUUACCUCCUAUGGCCUUCUAUUAGAUAUAUAAAUGGUUUUGAGACCUCAGAUACCUCCACGAAAAGUAGCUUUAUGUCCCCUCUUCCUUCGUCUUGUCUUCCUGUUAUUAGUACGUAAAUUGUUUAGCAGUGAAUACUGAUACCUUUUAGAUUCGUAAAAUUAUCUUGAACCUUGUUUGCUGAAGAUUCCAUUGGUUGAUUAAACAUCUUUCUUUUCCACUUAUGGAAUGAUAUCUCUGGUAAGUGUUUUACUAAGUCUACGUUAAAAGGAUUGUUGCUGGGUUGUAAUAUCUUCUAAUGUUUCCUGUUGAUUUUAGCAUUAUAUUUACCAGUUUUGAUACUGUCUGUGUGUCUAAUGGAGGAUAUUAUUAUUGCAGAAGUAGGUUUCAUUUAAGCUAAACUAAUUAUCUUGCAGCUUCAUUCAUAACUUUCUCUUUUUGUCACAUUUCUUACUCUUUCUGAACUCUUAAGGUCAAAAUGGAAGUUCAUUCUCAUUCUUAUAUUCAGUUCAAACUCGACAUCCAAAUUUUAUGUUUUGCCAACUUUUUCUGAGUUCUAAAAUUUACCAAAGAUCUAAAUCUUUCCUUUUCUUUCACCCAACUGUUUUCAGGAGCAUUGUGUCUAUAUCCAAUUUCAAUUUGUACCAGUGGCUUGUAUGAUUCUCCGUAAUGGAUGUUUGGCUUCUUGCUACUUUUAGUUGAUCUAAAAUCGAUGCAAUUAUACAUCUAAGUCACAGGAUUUUUUGCUAUUAUCAAGUGGAUAAGUCGGACUUUCCAUAUAAUAUCGAUCAAAUGAUUGAAAUCCAUCUUAUUUAUUUCUAUUUUCUUUGUUGUUUGAUCUUUUGGUUAAGCUACUGCUACAUCAUUGAAAGUUCCUAAAUUAUUUUAGUAUUCAUUAUGUCAACUAGAUAUUUAAUGACUUCUAGUGAGUUCUGUCUUGAGGUAUUGAAUUCUUUUUUUUUCUGAAAUGUAGGAAUUUUGACUUGAAAUUGUAAUUAUAUUUUUGAACAUUAUUCUUCUGAAGUAUACUCGAAAAAGACAAAAGGGCGACAGUUUCUUGCCUUCUAGGUGUUUUUUAUUUCUGUGUCAGUAUUGCCCAUGCACAGAUCAAGGUUUUGCUCUAUGGU
This 1641-nucleotide long non-coding RNA is filed under the name Nicotiana benthamiana. Its description in RNAcentral is "long non-coding RNA (NBEN_LNC003607)". The record is from RNAcentral. Lineage: Eukaryota; Viridiplantae; Streptophyta; Magnoliopsida; Solanales; Solanaceae.